Molecule: long non-coding RNA, 2624 nt
Organism: Salmo salar (Atlantic salmon)
Lineage: Eukaryota; Metazoa; Chordata; Actinopteri; Salmoniformes; Salmonidae
Source: RefSeq, a predicted model, not a curated record
UCUGACAGUCUUCAUAGGAGAGCUGAUCUCAGAUCAGUUUAGCUUAUUAUAUCAUAUUGAUACUGCUGUAAACCUGUGACAGUCUUCAUAGGAGAGCUGAUCUCGGAUCAGUUUAGCUUAUUAUAUCAUAUUGAUACUGCUGUAAACCUGUGACAGUCUUCAUAGGAGAGCUGAUCUCAGAUCAGUUUAGCUGUUUAUAUCAUAUUGAUACUCCUGUAAAGUCAGGUUACAGCAGGUGUUUACUGCCAUCUAGUGGAAGAUAUUUUAUUUUUAUUUCACUUUUAUUUAACUAGGUAAGUCAGAACAAAUUCUUAUUAACAAUGACGGCCUACCCCGGCCAAACCUUGACGACGCUGUGCCAAUUGUGCGCCGCCCUAUGGGACUCCCAGUCAUGCAGCCUGGACUCUAACCAGGUACUGCAGUGACGCAAGAGGCGGGACUCUGCACCACUCGGGAGGCGGCUGAGCUGAAACAGAAAGUAAAGUUGUUCUUUUGUACAGGAUCCAUUUUGAGACGACAGAGCAGAAAACACUAUAUGGAGACUAUUGAAAAAUGAAGUAAGUAUUUCUGAACAUUAAUUUAUUCUAAAGGACAGAGUAAGAGAAUGAAUACCUGGAAUGAGAUAUUACUAGUUAGAACUGCUACUUGAGCGGAGUUGCUGACAGACAGCAGUUUUCAAAGUGGAAACUAAUCAGUAGGUCUACAUGUUAUCAGUAAAACGUCUGGUAAAGAUGGUGGAGGAGCUUUUACAUUAUAUGGUUUAAUGUUUAUCUCAGGGUUUCUCAAUCCUUUAGUUAUUAUCCAGCACUUACACACCUGAUUCAACUAGUCAUCAAAUAUUUUAAGACAGUUUAAUAUUUGAGGCAUACAAAUUAACAUUCUCAAAUGAAAACCUUUUGGGUUUGGUAGGUCUGUUAACAAUUAUUAUAGUCCUACAGUAACUCAUAUGUUGGAGAUUAAAAAAACACACAACUAAACCUGGUUUCGAGUAAAUGAUAAGUUUAGCUUAAAUAAUGUAAGAGAGAUGUCUCAAAGAAGGACUAUAAAAAAAAAUGUAAGCAAGAUUCGGUACAAUGUCACGAGUUACUGAUGUCACAUGCAACUGACUGUUAGCGCCACCCUCUGGUUAAUAUUGUUAUAUAAAGUGAAAGUAAGGGUGUAGUCUACGCCGUUACAAACUGACUGUAGAAACUGUAGCGCACAUUUCUCUGCAACAUUAGAAGCAGGAUAAAUGUGUUGAUUUGAAGGACAGACGGACAGACUCUGGUAAGUCUUGGCUACAUAUAACUAUUAUAAAGUUAGGUCGUAGUCAGACAUUCAAUAGACAGAGUAGGCUUGAGAUAUGAUUCUUUAUCAUGCUGACCAACCUGGGCCCGGUUUCCGCGAUAGAAUUUAGACUUAACGCUGGAAACGCAUAAUAAGUGGUAAAUGAUAAUUAACAAAAUACAGUGUUGAGGAAACGCUAUUUUACAAAUAAAAGGUGCGUAAGUGCGUUUACGUGGGUUUACCCUCCACCACAUCCCCGUUGAUGCGGUGUGCAGCGUAGAGUGCAUAGUCAUUCAGUCUCUAUGGGCCAGAUGGUGAGGGCCACAGCAUAGUCCUUUAGUCUCUAUGGGAAAAUAAACUGUUCAGAUGGGGGUCUAUAACAUCCAAUCACAUACUCCUCAAGAUGAGGCUCAUGAUUGAUAAGUUAUAUACCUUUUAAUCUUUACAUAUAUUGUCUUUAUUUAAACCAAGGUAGUUUGAGUUAGUAGCGAUGAAGUAGCAACUGUCAGCUGCUGUAAACCUGUGACAGUAUUCAUAGGAGAGCUGAUCUCGGAUCAGUUUAGCUUAUUAUAUCAUAUUGAUACUGCUGUAAACCUGUGACAGUCUUCAUAGGAGAGCUGAUCUCGGAUCAGUUUAGCUUAUUAUAUCAUAUUGAUACUGCUGUAAACCUGUGACAGUCUUCAUAAGAGAGCUGAUCUCAGAUCAGUUUAGCUGUUUAUAUCAUAUUGAUACUCCUGUAAAGUCAGGUUACAGCAGGUGUUUACUGCCAUCUAGUGGAAGAUAUUUUAUUUUUAUUUCACUUUUAUUUAACUAGGUAAGUCAGAACAAAUUCUUAUUAACAAUGACGGCCUACCCCGGCCAAACCUUGACGACGCUGUGCCAAUUGUGCGCCGCCCUAUGGAACUCCCAGUCAUGCAGCCUGGACUCUAACCAGGUACUGCAGUGACGCAAGAGGCGGGACUCUGCACCACUCGGGAGGCGGCUGAGCUGAAACAGAAAGUAAAGUUGUUCUUUUGUUCAGGAUCCAUUUUGAGACGACAGAGCAGAAAACACUAUAUGGAGAUUAUUGAAAAAUAAAGGGUCAGUGCUCUAAAAUGAGUCUCUCUGGGGAGAGAGAUGAGGGGGGCCCUGCCUCUAAAAUACAUCUCUCUGGGGGACAUGACACCAAAGCUAAGAGACCAAUCAAGCAGGAGAGACCAGCCUCCCCUGUAUCCAGCUGUGUGUCCAUGAAGAGUGAUAAGUCUAUGUAUCGACCUAUAAUGUUUAGAGAGGGAGACUUUUCUACUGAACAAAGCCCAAUCAAGCAGGAGAGACCAGCCUCCCCUGUACCCAGCUGUGUGUCCAUGAAGAGUGACCAG